CAAAAAGACCGCGAAACCGUUAGGAGGGAAACGAAUGCAGCUGAAGUGGCUCCGUAUCAGGUUCAGGGGAUGUCGGGGGAUGUUCCGGGUUCGGGUAGCCGAGUGCGUCCUUGCUCGGAUAGGCCGUCGACUUCCCUGCACUCCCGUUGGGAGCCGGCCAACAGCAGUUGCUUCCGGCCCAGAAGGUCUGUCGGGAGGUGCCUCUGCACUUGUGCAGAGAACGUAUAGCCGGUGGUCCGGAGGUCCGGGAACGACUGAGGAGAGUCGUGAGUUUUCACGCGUGCAGCGCAGGCCCCUUUGGGCCGGGUCACCUCUGUCCGUUUGGGCCCCGCGGUGGGGACUGCUUGCAGUGUCUGCUGACGGUCAGUCUGCUCGGUCGGGGGAUUGGCCACGCCUUGCGCUCUGGUUGUUGGUGCUCAAAUGGCUGCAUCCGA
This 434-nucleotide ribosomal RNA is filed under the name Cliona sp. RMNH POR 11774. RNAcentral's name for it is "partial large subunit ribosomal RNA". Lineage: Eukaryota; Metazoa; Porifera; Demospongiae; Clionaida; Clionaidae. The record is from RNAcentral.